CCUAAAUAUCGAACACUUAAUGUGCCGCAAGGCCUAAAAAAUCAAAUACAACUUUUAACAACGGAUCUCUUGGCUCUCGCAUCGAUGAAGAACGCAGCGAAUUGCGAUAAGUAAUGUGAAUUGCAGAAUUCAGUGAAUCAUCGAAUCUUUGAACGCACCUUGCGCUCCCUGGCAUUCCGGGGAGCACGCCUGUUCGAGUAUCGUGAAAUCUUCAAACCGGAUAGGCUUUGCUGUUUAUCUUGGGCUUGGAUGUGGACUCUGCUGUUGUGCAAACGACAGCUGGUCUUAAACAUAUUAGCUGAAUCUUGGUCUAUGGAACUGGGUUCUACUCGGCGUGAUAAUUAUCUUAUCGCUGAGGACACUCCUUUGCAAAAGGGGGUGGCCCGUUUUAACCUCGAGUCGCUUCUAAUCUGGCGAAGCUAGACUUUACCGUCUAGUUUCCCGCUUUUUUCAACCUUUGAUCUCGAAUCAGGUGGGACUACCCGCUGAACUUAAGCAUAUCAAUAAGCGGAGGA
This 515-nucleotide ribosomal RNA is filed under the name uncultured fungus. RNAcentral's name for it is "eukaryotic LSU rRNA". The stretch from base 50 to 203 matches the Rfam family "5.8S ribosomal RNA". The record is from RNAcentral. Lineage: Eukaryota; Fungi.